RNAcentral lists this long non-coding RNA (267 nucleotides) under Homo sapiens (human). RNAcentral's name for it is "non-protein coding lnc-ITGA4-3:1". Lineage: Eukaryota; Metazoa; Chordata; Mammalia; Primates; Hominidae. The record is from RNAcentral.
UUUUUCACAUCUGUACAUGGAACAUUCUCUAAAAUUGACCACAUAGUCGUAAGUCACAUCUCAAUAAGAUAAAAAAAAUCAAAAUCAAUGCAAGUGUCUUCUGAGGUCACAAUGAAAUAAAAUUAGAAAUGAAGAACAAGAGGAAUUCUCAAAACGACACAAAUACAUGGAAACUAAACAACCUGCACCUGAAUUCUGAAAAAACAAAAUUAAUGCAUAAAUCAAAAAAAUUGAAACAUGAAAAUUGAAACACAACAUACCAAAACC